Long non-coding RNA from Xiphophorus hellerii (green swordtail), 445 nucleotides. RefSeq lists it as uncharacterized. The record is from RefSeq and is a predicted model, not a curated record. The transcript is spliced from 3 exons. NCBI's taxonomy places the organism in Eukaryota, Metazoa, Chordata, Actinopteri, Cyprinodontiformes, Poeciliidae.
AUGUUCUCCCUGUGCAUGUGUGGGUUCUCUCCGGUUCUCUGGCUUCCUCCUACACUUAAAAACAUGCACGUUAGGUCAAUCGGGUCCUCAGAAAUGUCUUUCAGGUGUGAGUCAGUGUGUGGCUGUUUGUCCUGUGUGCCUCUGUUGAAGCAAAUUAUUAUCUGAUUAAUAAUUGAUUGCUCUUAAUGUUUUGACUACACCUCAUUUCCCAUUUAUUUAUCCAUUUUUUGUUGUUUAAGUAGGGUUUGUCUGAUGUGUCUGGCUGUCUAGAGCCUAAUUCAUUCAACAGCCAUCACUUUACAAUCCAGUUCGAUGAGAUGUGAGUGUGAGCAGCAGAAUUUCACCUGAUGUGGCAGAUCUUUGAGGUGUUUGUCUGUUGCAUGUCUCUGCAGUGAGACGAUGACUGACAAAGAUAUUCAGACUAAAUCAAGGUAGCUGUUCGAGC